Molecule: long non-coding RNA, 1683 nt
Organism: Gallus gallus (chicken)
Lineage: Eukaryota; Metazoa; Chordata; Aves; Galliformes; Phasianidae
Source: Ensembl
AGCUGUAGAGCCUAGGAUGGGGAAUAUCUAACUCUCAGCUUUCUUCAGCCCAAGGUGGAAAUGUUCUCCCAUUUCCAAGACCAGCAGAGCACCCUGUAUCCUACAUGAGAGCACCCACCUCUUCUUUUCAAGCCAAGCCAUGAAAACAAAGGAGAACCGAGCAGCAGCCAGGAAUGUGCUAUACAUGGACUCCUAAUGGAAUUAGAGUAUCUGCAUCCUGCCCACAUGGACUAAAGCAUUGGAUCGGGGCCUAUCAUUUACAGUGACGAUGCAGUCCUGUGAGGCAGACCACGUGGGACUCCCUGUUAAGACACAGUCAAGAGAUGACAUCAGUCUUUGUAGGAUCAUAGGAAAUAGCAUCACAGGUGAAGGCACAAAGUACUGAAGUUUCAGAAGAAAAAACAACACAGAAUCUUUGUAUCAAUCCAGUAAAAAAAAGCAACCCAAAAAACAACCUCACCACUUUGGGAAGGAUCUCCUCAAAAGAAAGCUGAUGAGUUGACUGGCAUCAGAGACUGUCCAAACCAAGGAGUCAGAUGGAAAGGACCACGAGGGAAAUUGGGCUGCAUACCCAAGAGAAGGCUUUGAAACAAUGCAAUCCCAUUUUCACAACGUCCAGCAUGGAGAUGUGAUGUCCAAAUCUCCAGUACCACUGUGCUUGCACAGGCAGAGCCUUGCCAGCUUUUCAGUCAGGCUGAGGCUGAAUUUGCCACAAGAGCAAGUCCUAGGAUGUGCAUUCAAGACGAGGAACAGGACCUUGUCCCACAGAGAACUUUUCCACCAAGCAAGCCCAGGGUGUCAGACUAGGAGCCUGUUUCUGUUUUCUGCAUUACAUUCAGCUCAAUCAAUCAUUCAAUGGCUUCCAUCCUUAUUUUUCCUCUGUCCUUUCCAGUCAGACUUUGUUCUCUUCAGACUGGUGGUGGGUUUGUGCCUGGUACAGAGGGUGCUCACCUGAGCCAGGGACAUGAUGGUUGCUGUCAUGCUAAUCAUAAUUUUCCUCAGAAAGGAAAUAGCAAAUGCCUUUGUGUCUUGUUCUCCUGCCCUUGUGCUCCCAGACCCCUGCUCUGAGGACAGGACACUUCCCCUCUGCCUCCUUUUGCUCUGAUUUGCCUUGCCUUCCCCAAGCCCUACUGCUAACUGCACUCUCACUGAUUAUUUUCUUUUCAGAGGCUGUAAACUUCAGUUCCUGCUCAGCUUGCAUUAGUGUCAGAGAAGUAUCUCUUGGCUGUUUACAGAAGAGAAAAUGGAAAGAUGAGCAUUAUUUCAUGUGAAAUAUGGUAGAGAGCCUAUGCUGAGUUUCUCUGUGAGGCCUGAGGCUCCAGCUACCUGAAGAAGCUGGUGAAAGCAUCCGUCAUCUGGUGAUUCAUCUCCCCCUGCCAUGGCUCUGGCCCUGCUCUGCGUGGGUGUCUCACAGCUCUCAUCAACUCUGGUUUUGAUGCAGACCAGGAGCUGCUGGGCUGUUCGCCCAAGUUUAUCUUGUAUGAAAGAGUUUGCUUGCUUUUCAAUUGUCUGGUGUUCUCCUGAAGAUGUAAAUUAAAAAAAAUAAAAAAAAAAAUAAAAAAAACAGGUUUUCUUGUAGAUUGCUUUUCAGCUGUUUCUACUAGGAGUGAGAAAAUGGGGAUUGGUGCUCAAGGGAUGUCUCUGGUGCGAGGUCAUACCAGUCCAAUCCCUUCUUGGAAAGAG